GGAUGCCGAUCAUACCAGCACUAAAGCACCGGAUCCCAUCAGAACUCCGAAGUUAAGCGUGCUUGGGCGAGAGUAGUACUAGGAUGGGUGACCUCUUGGGAAGUCCUCGUGUUGCAUUCCC
Molecule: ribosomal RNA, 121 nt
Filed under: Thinopyrum intermedium
Lineage: Eukaryota; Viridiplantae; Streptophyta; Magnoliopsida; Poales; Poaceae
Source: RNAcentral